GAUGAACGCUGGCGGCGUGCUUAACACAUGCAAGUCGAACGGAAAGGCUCCUGCUUUCUGGGGUACUCGAGUGGCGAACGGGUGAGUAACACGUGGGUGAUCUGCCCAGCACUUCGGGAUAAGCCUAGGAAACUGGGGCUAAUACCGGAUAGGACGACGUGUUGGAUGCUAUUGUGGAGAGUUUUUUCGGGGUGGGAUGGGCUCGCGGCUUAUCAGCUUGUUGGUGGGGUAGUGGCCUACCAAGGCGUCGACGGGUAGCCGGCCUGAGAGGGGGUGCGGCCACAUUGGGACUGAGAUACGGCCCAGACUCCUACGGGAGGCAGCAGUGGGGAAUAUUGCACAAUGGGCGCAAGCCUGAUGCAGCGACGCCGCGUGGGGGAUGACGGCCUUCGGGUUGUAAACUCCUUUCGCUAGGGACGAAGCGCAAGUGACGGUACCUGGUGAAGAAGCACCGGCUAACUACGUG
RNAcentral lists this ribosomal RNA (466 nucleotides) under uncultured bacterium. RNAcentral describes it as "partial 16S ribosomal RNA". It matches the Rfam family "Bacterial small subunit ribosomal RNA", at positions 28 to 507 of the family's 1533-position model. The record is from RNAcentral.